Molecule: ribosomal RNA, 664 nt
Filed under: Tardiphaga robiniae
Lineage: Bacteria; Pseudomonadati; Pseudomonadota; Alphaproteobacteria; Hyphomicrobiales; Nitrobacteraceae
Description: bacterial SSU rRNA
Rfam family: Bacterial small subunit ribosomal RNA
Source: RNAcentral
GCUUAACACAUGCAAGUCGAACGGGCGUAGCAAUACGUCAGUGGCAGACGGGUGAGUAACGCGUGGGAACAUACCUCUUGGUUCGGAACAACACAGGGAAACUUGUGCUAAUACCGGAUAAGCCCUUACGGGGAAAGAUUUAUCGCCGAGAGAUUGGCCCGCGUCUGAUUAGCUAGUUGGUGGGGUAAAGGCCUACCAAGGCGACGAUCAGUAGCUGGUCUGAGAGGAUGAUCAGCCACAUUGGGACUGAGACACGGCCCAAACUCCUACGGGAGGCAGCAGUGGGGAAUAUUGGACAAUGGGCGCAAGCCUGAUCCAGCCAUGCCGCGUGAGUGAUGAAGGCCCUAGGGUUGUAAAGCUCUUUUGUACGGGAAGAUAAUGACGGUACCGUAAGAAUAAGCCCCGGCUAACUUCGUGCCAGCAGCCGCGGUAAUACGAAGGGGGCUAGCGUUGCUCGGAAUCACUGGGCGUAAAGGGUGCGUAGGCGGGUUUUUAAGUCAGAGGUGAAAUCCUGGAGCUCAACUCCAGAACUGCCUUUGAUACUGAAAGUCUUGAGUAUGGGAGAGGUGAGUGGAACUGCGAGUGUAGAGGUGAAAUUCGUAGAUAUUCGCAAGAACACCAGUGGCGAAGGCGGCUCACUGGCCCAUAACUGACGCUGAGGCAC